This 1510-nucleotide long non-coding RNA is filed under the name Equus caballus (horse). RNAcentral's name for it is "lncRNA (ENSECAG00000058074.1)". Lineage: Eukaryota; Metazoa; Chordata; Mammalia; Perissodactyla; Equidae. The record is from RNAcentral.
UUCUCCAAACAGUCUCCAUUGAUAAGAAGAGUUUGUCACAUGUAUGUUGGAAAUGAUACCAAAAGAUUCAAAUGAACAGUCCCAGUUCUAGUAUUCUCCUUUUCUAUGCACAGAAUUUAAAGUCAGAUCUGAUGUCAGGGAAAAGCACAGUAUGUCAUCCCUCAGCUGUGUACUGCCAGGAGCUGAAUUCUGUCCAUGUGACAGCCGUAAAUGUGAAAAUAUCUUAUUAUUUUCAUUUAUUGCUAAGCACUAAAAACUUCAAUUUCAAAAAUAGCAGAUUUCUGAUUAUGCCACAUGUUAUGCAACAAAGUUAUCACAAUAGAGUUUUGGCCUCCUAACCCUCCUCGGAGCCACUCAGGGCACCUGCAGCAUUCCAAAGUGUCUGUCACACAGUCGAAUUUCGAAGGAGCUGAUGUUCUCAACAGCGAAAUGAGAAGAUGCACUUUAUAAUCACAUGGUUUAUUAUGUGUCAGAUGUCACUAGAAAUGAAAUAAAAGGUUAGCCCAUUGCGGCAGAAUGCAUUGAAAAUAUGAAACGUUCCCAGUGGGGAGUUAAAGAAAGCAAUCUUAUUUGUCCACUGUAGAAAGGGUGAGGAGAAAUGGCGUUACCUGGCUUUGAUAACCAAAGAAGCGUGACUUCUUGUAGCAUGUGAGAUGCAUAAACAACCUGACUGUGUUCUCUUUCUCCUGCUAACUUUGCUGAAAAGGAGCACAACAUAAACAGCUUCAAGGUAUAUAACAAUUCAUCGUAGAGAGAAUUCCAUCCUCAGCUCUUCUGCUUCCUAAUUCUCUCUACAAGAGUUUACAGGCGCACCUCUUUUUAUUGCACUUCACAGAUAUUGUGUUUUUUCGAGUCCCUCCACCAGCAAAAGGUUGUAAUCUUUUUGCUGGUGAAGGGUAUUGUAAAAAAUGUGGUAUAUGCAAAGUGCAAUAAAGUGAAGCACAAUAAAAUGAGGAAUGCCUGUACAUACAGUGGUGAUGGUGGUUGCAGCUCUGUGGAGUUAAAUCUUCCAAGAACGCCUAGUCCUAGGAUCAGAGCACUGCUAGGUUGUGGUAUAUCCACUUGAAAGGCCCAAAUGAUUCAUUUAGGGAAAGUUUAGAAGAUGAGUCCACAAUGGAGGGCAUUUAAUUAUGUGUAUCCCAAAAGGUACAAAACUGAGAGAAUGAGUGAGGCACGGGGGAAACCAGUUGAUGUUGCAUUUAUUUUCGUGUAAAGAACAGAACUUCCUGCUGGAGUAGCUGAAAGGUCAACAGACUGAGUACUUCAGCAGGGAUCCCAUAUCUCACUUUAUGAACUUAGCAUUUGCCAGUAAGCAAAUCUGAUGUGAAAAUUUCCCAGUUUAUUUGUGACUAUUCUAAUAAAGUGAGAAUAUAUGAAUUGCUAAAUUGGAUUCAUAGGAAAUCCAAAAGAAAAAAGAAUCAUAAAAUCCAGUUACGACCCUUUUUUAUUUUGUCUUUGUGUCUUUAGCCAUCUUGUAGUGAUCCAGAUGCCAUUUCAGCAACAUAAAGUC